RNAcentral lists this ribosomal RNA (440 nucleotides) under uncultured bacterium. RNAcentral describes it as "partial 16S ribosomal RNA". It matches the Rfam family "Bacterial small subunit ribosomal RNA", at positions 338 to 795 of the family's 1533-position model. The record is from RNAcentral.
CCUACGGGGGGCUGCAGUGGGGAAUAUUGCACAAUGGGGGAAACCCUGAUGCAGCGACGCCGCGUGAGUGAAGAAGUAUUUCGGUACGUAAAGCUCUAUCAGCAGGGAAGAAAAUGACGGUACCUGACUAAGAAGCCCCGGCUAACUACGUGCCAGCAGCCGCGGUAAUACGUAGGGGGCAAGCGUUAUCCGGAUUUACUGGGUGUAAAGGGAGCGUAGACGGCAGCGCAAGUCUGGAGUGAAAUCCCAUGGCUUAACCAUGGAACUGCUUUGGAAACUGUGCAGCUAGAGUGCAGGAGAGGUAAGCGGAAUUCCUAGUGUAGCGGUGAAAUGCGUAGAUAUUAGGAGGAACACCAGUGGCGAAGGCGGCUUACUGGACUGUAACUGACGUUGAGGCUCGAAAGCAUGGGGAGCAAACAGGAUUAGAUACCCCAGUAGUC